RNAcentral lists this ribosomal RNA (301 nucleotides) under uncultured bacterium. RNAcentral describes it as "partial 16S ribosomal RNA". It matches the Rfam family "Bacterial small subunit ribosomal RNA", at positions 509 to 807 of the family's 1533-position model. The record is from RNAcentral.
CAGCAGCCGCGGUAACACGGAGGGGGCUAGCGUUGUUCGGAAUUACUGGGCGUAAAGCGCGCGUAGGCGGCUUGGUAAGUUAGAGGUGAAAGCCUGGGGCUCAACCCCAGAAUUGCCUUUAAGACUGCCGAGCUAGUAGGUGAGAGAGGUAAGUGGAAUUCCGAGUGUAGAGGUGAAAUUCGUAGAUAUUCGGAAGAACACCAGUGGCGAAGGCGGCUUACUGGCUCAUUCUAGACGCUGAGGUGCGAAAGCGUGGGGAGCAAACAGGAUUAGAUACCCCGGUAGUCCCUGUCUCUUAUAC